The sequence is a regulatory RNA element, 118 nucleotides long. It matches the Rfam family "FMN riboswitch aptamer (RFN element)". From Rfam's summary of the family: The RFN element is a highly conserved domain that is found frequently in the 5'-untranslated regions of prokaryotic mRNAs that encode for flavin mononucleotide (FMN) biosynthesis and transport proteins. This element is a metabolite-dependent riboswitch that directly binds FMN in the absence of proteins. The record is from Rfam.
UAGAAUCUUCGGGGCGAGGCGUAAAUCCUCACCGGCGGUUAUAGCCCGCAAGCUUUUGGUAGCAGAUUUGGUGAAAUUCCAAAGCCGACAGUUAAAGUCUGGAUGAGAGAAGAUGUGU